UACAGAGGUCUCAAGCGUUGUUCGGAUUCAUUGGGCGUAAAGGGUGCGUAGGCGGCGCGGUAAGUCGGGUGUGAAAUCCCUCGGCUUAACCGGGGAACUGCGCUUGAUACUGGAUGGCUUGAGAUUGGGAGAGGGAUGCGGAAUUCCAGGUGUAGCGGUGAAAUGCGUAGAUAUCUGGAGGAACACCGGUAGCGAAGGCGGCAUCCUGGACCAACACUGACGCUGAGGAGCGAAAGCCAGGGGAGCAAACGGG
This 253-nucleotide ribosomal RNA is filed under the name uncultured bacterium. RNAcentral describes it as "partial 16S ribosomal RNA". It matches the Rfam family "Bacterial small subunit ribosomal RNA", at positions 524 to 776 of the family's 1533-position model. The record is from RNAcentral.